This is an RNA transcript of Rhinopithecus roxellana (golden snub-nosed monkey), 377 nucleotides long. It is a transcript of the gene named immunoglobulin heavy variable 7-4-1-like, with no coding region annotated. The transcript is spliced from 2 exons. The record is from RefSeq and is a predicted model, not a curated record. Lineage: Eukaryota; Metazoa; Chordata; Mammalia; Primates; Cercopithecidae.
AUGGACAGGACCUACAGGAUCUUCUUCUUGGUGGCAGCAGCCACAGGUGCCCAGUACCAGGUGCAGCUGGUGCAGUUUGGGCCUGAGGUGAAGCAGCCUGUGGCCUCAGUGAAGGUCUUCUGCAAGGCUUCUGGUUACAGCUUUACCACCUAUGGUAUGAAUUGGGUGCGACAGGUCCCUGGAGAAGGGCUUGAGUGGAUGGGAUGGAUGAACACCAACACUGGGAACCCAACGUAUGCCCAGGGCUAAAAGGACGGUUUGUCUUCUCUAUGGACACCUCUGUCAGCACAGUGCAUCUGCAGAUCAGCAGCAUAAAGACUGAGGACACUGCUGUGCGUUACUGUACGAGAGACACAGUGUGGAAACCCACAUCCUGA